This 578-nucleotide ribosomal RNA is filed under the name uncultured bacterium. RNAcentral describes it as "partial 16S ribosomal RNA". It matches the Rfam family "Bacterial small subunit ribosomal RNA", at positions 355 to 932 of the family's 1533-position model. The record is from RNAcentral.
UGGGGAAUUUUGGACAAUGGGCGAAAGCCUGAUCCAGCAAUGCCGCGUGUGUGAAGAAGGCCUUCGGGUUGUAAAGCACUUUUGUCCGGAAAGAAAUCCUUGGCUCUAAUACAGUCGGGGGAUGACGGUACCGGAAGAAUAAGCACCGGCUAACUACGUGCCAGCAGCCGCGGUAAUACGUAGGGUGCAAGCGUUAAUCGGAAUUACUGGGCGUAAAGCGUGCGCAGGCGGUUUGCUAAGACCGAUGUGAAAUCCCCGGGCUCAACCUGGGAACUGCAUUGGUGACUGGCAGGCUAGAGUAUGGCAGAGGGGGGUAGAAUUCCACGUGUAGCAGUGAAAUGCGUAGAGAUGUGGAGGAAUACCGAUGGCGAAGGCAGCCCCCUGGGCCAAUACUGACGCUCAUGCACGAAAGCGUGGGGAGCAAACAGGAUUAGAUACCCUGGUAGUCCACGCCCUAAACGAUGUCAACUAGUUGUUGGGGAUUCAUUCCUUAGUAACGUAGCUAACGCGUGAAGUUGACCGCCUGGGGAGUACGGUCGCAAGAUUAAAACUGAAAUGAAUUGACGGGGUCAUAGCUG